This is a long non-coding RNA of Silurus meridionalis, 1699 nucleotides long. RefSeq lists it as uncharacterized. The transcript is spliced from 3 exons. The record is from RefSeq and is a predicted model, not a curated record. Lineage: Eukaryota; Metazoa; Chordata; Actinopteri; Siluriformes; Siluridae.
UGUCCUUUUUUCCACCUUUUUUGUCUUUAGACGCAGCGCACGCGUGGGGAGCGGAUUUCUUUUUCCCCGCCCAAGCUGGCCUCGCGCAGCCAGAGGCGGCAGCACCGCGCACGCGGGACCCGGGGAUGUGCAGGCCGCGGGUCGUCGCGGCGGCAGCACGCGGCUCGCUUCGUUUCCCCCCCCUCCUCACGCGGCUAAGCUCGCGCUCGAGGGACACGACACGGCCGCCGCUGCCGCUGGGUCUCCAGGGGCCGCAGGGGGGACACGGGGGAGCGUGCUUUAAUUGAUUCAGGCGCUCGUUUAAGUGACACACACACACACACACACACACACAUAACAUACUCUUGCUGCACUGGAAGCAAAGGCCUACGGCUUUUCAAACUCCAAACGUCCCACAUGUCCUGUAGGCGCUGCGAACCGAGCAAACAAAAAUACUUAUAUACAUAUAUAUUUUUUAAACCCAUUGACUUCUCGUCAAUAGGAUAAUGAAGAAACAAGAUCCCAUUGUAGAGCAACUUCUCCUGGGUGACAUCACAUGUCACAGUGUUAUUCCCCUGCUUUCUGUGUGCUUGAUCUCUUUUUGCUGCAACAUUUAUUGCCUUCAUGACAGUGUUUAACAGCUGAUGCAAGCUAUGCAACCCAAUCCAGGAAGUGAAAGCCCUGAGAAAAGUGCAGUGUUGUAGAUAAAUCCAUGUAAUGUUAGGGGUGUGUGUGUGUUGUGUGAAGUGACAGUGGGUCGGGUCACGUUUAUUUACAUUCUGUCACAACACCACUUACUCACUCACUCAUUCAAUCAGCCGCAAGCUUCUCUCCAUGCCUGCAUUCCACUUUCAGGUUUAUGCGCAGGCUUCUUCUAUUGUGGUAUAUGCAUAUGAGCCUUAAUCGUUCAUAGGCGCGCUCCGGGCUCCGGUGUGUGCACGGUACCUGGCGCGGUUAGCGCUGCAGUUUCUCGAGGCGCUGCCGGCGAGUUUAUGUCGCUCGCGUUCUCGUCCAGCUCGCCGUCGUCUUCGUCUUCUUCAUCAAAAUCUCCUCCCUCGGAAUUAACCGCCAUGCCCUCAUCUUCCUCACAAGAACGGAGAGGAGAGGACAUUAUAUCCCGAGAGCCGCACAAAUCCAUCCAACAUGGCUACCUUGAUAUUCUUAAAGGCCCCCCACCGAUGGAUAAAACUAUUUUGGAGCUAAAGGCUUUGCGUUACUUGGGCUGUCUGACUUGAAGGGAGGCUAAGAAGGUGGGGGGAGAGGAGCUCUGCAGCAGCCAUGCCCAGAUUUACAUCAGAUGUUGCUUAAAAAUUAACUGUUUCAUGUUUGAAGGCAUUUGUUUGGCAUGAUUUUUAUUUUAUUUAAUGUUCUAUUAAUAUAUUGAUUUUUUUUACAACACAUUUUAGACAAUGCAAUUCUGUGUUAGAGGAAAGUAAAUCAGUUGUUUCUUGCACAGGAUUUAGGAAAUUGUAAAGCAAAAAAAAAAACAUCCGAACACAAACUCCUGAAGAAUCCGCUGACAGCAAAUUUAUUAUUGUUUUUGAAAUAAAUAGGUUGUAUUCUCUUAAAGGAUACACUUUCACUUUUGAUACUUGAGAAUGGUGAAACCUUUGUGAAAUUAAUCCACUUGAAUUAUAUUCUGCAUUACCACAAUAAAAUUCCAACAUAAAAUAAUAUAAUAGGAUGAAGCUGUCAUUAAAGUAUUGUUAAAAUAAACUGC